RNAcentral lists this long non-coding RNA (1359 nucleotides) under Heterocephalus glaber (naked mole-rat). RNAcentral's name for it is "lncRNA (ENSHGLG00100042750.1)". The record is from RNAcentral. Lineage: Eukaryota; Metazoa; Chordata; Mammalia; Rodentia; Bathyergidae.
AGCCUGGCCUUUAGGGGUCCUCUGGCUUUGAAGGUCGCCUCCUCUUGAAUAACUCACUGAUAAGUUUAUUAAAGGUUUUCAGAGCUGGAUAUGGUGGCGCACGCCUGUAAUCCCAGUAUGUGGGAGGCUAGGUAGGAGAACUGCCAGGAGUUCGAGACCAAUCUGAGCUAUACAGGAUUGAACUCGGGACCUUGCAUUUGCGCAGCAGGCGGCAGAACCACUGAGCUAAAGGCCUGGCCCUAGAUUCAUAUUUUUUCAAGACAAAUUGAAAAAUGAAGAGAAGGGGAGACUUCCCGGAAGAUCACAGAGUGGUGAACAGCAGAGAAACAGCCUCUCCAAGAUUUGGUGUCCAGACCCUGGAAUAUAGCAACAUGAGGAAGACAGGAAGGAGGGAAGUGGGGCCUCAGAACCCAGCAAGAAUCUGAAGUGAGAAUUGAGGCCCACGAGGACAGCCAAGAGAGCGAUUUCAAUGCAGAAGAAGGAGAUGGCAAGUGGCACUUUCUCCUUGAGCCCUGACUCAUUGUGUGGGAAGGGAGGCUCAAACCUGCAGACACAUGGUGACUACUGGUAAGCCCAGAGCCCUCCAUGGAGAAAUGCGCCCCAGAACAGAGCAUUUGACACAGCAGACUGCAGUGGCUGGUGAGUUAUUCGAGUUCAGACAUCCUCAGGAGAGGGUGAUUGGCUGGUCACCAUCUUGGAGAGGAGCCGACUGAGCUGGAACUCAGAGCAGCUGCAGGCGGACUCCAUCAGGGUAGGCUGAACCGAGUUCAAGUCAGCAGGAAGUCAAGGAGCCAAGUUCAAGCUGGCAGAAAUACAGAGUGUUGCAGCUGAACAAAUCGGGUUCCAGCCUCACAGCCAGAAACCAGCCUGAGCUUCAGAACUAAAGGUGCAGGCUUGCUGGGAUUACCCACUACCCCACCGUGGCAUGUUGGAAUUGAUCUGUGCUCUGUGUGCCCACUGACAGCAGAAACACACCUUGAAAAAGAAUGGCUGCCAUCAAAAAAUCAACCAAUAACAAAUGCUGGUGGGGCUGUAAGGAAAAAGGAACCCUCCUCCACUGUUGUUGGGAGUGUAGACUCUGGUGCAGCCACUGUGGAAAUCAGUGUGGAGAUUUCUCAAACUAGAGGUUCUAUUUGACCCAUCUAUUCUCCUUCUUGGUAUGUUCCCAAUAGAAUUAAAAGCAUCAUACCACAGCGAUUUAUGCACACCCAUGUUUAUAGCAGCACAGUUUGUAAUAGCUAAAUCCAGAAACAACCCAAAUCUCCAUCAACUGACAAGUGGAUAAAGAUGUGUUUGUUUUUUACAAUGGAGUACUACUCUGCCAUAAAGAAGGAUAAGCUUGAGACAUUUAUAGCUAAA